AUUGAACGCUGGCGGCAUGCCUUACACAUGCAAGUCGAACGGCAGCACGGACUUCGGUCUGGUGGCGAGUGGCGAACGGGUGAGUAAUGCAUCGGAACGUGCCAUUGAGUGGGGGAUAACGUAGCGAAAGUUGCGCUAAAUACCGCAUAUUCUGUGAGCAGGAAAGCAGGGGACCGCAAGGCCUUGCGCUCUUUGAGCGGCCGAUGUCAGAUUAGCUAGUUGGUGAGGUAAAGGCUUACCAAGGCGACGAUCUGUAGCGGGUCUGAGAGGAUGAUCCGCCACACUGGAACUGAGACACGGUCCAGACUCCUACGGGAGGCAGCAGUGGGGGAAUUUUUGGACAAAUGGGGGCGAACCCUCGAUCCAGCCAU
RNAcentral lists this ribosomal RNA (371 nucleotides) under uncultured bacterium. RNAcentral's name for it is "bacterial SSU rRNA". It matches the Rfam family "Bacterial small subunit ribosomal RNA", at positions 30 to 395 of the family's 1533-position model. The record is from RNAcentral.